This 2374-nucleotide long non-coding RNA is filed under the name Piliocolobus tephrosceles (Ugandan red Colobus). Its description in RNAcentral is "lncRNA (ENSPTEG00000005197.1)". The record is from RNAcentral. Lineage: Eukaryota; Metazoa; Chordata; Mammalia; Primates; Cercopithecidae.
UAUAUACAUAUUAUAAGACCCCUGUCGUAACCCCUAUCGUAACUCCUAUCGUAACUCCUAUCGUAACUCCUAUCGUAACUCCUGACGUAUAAAAACAUGAACGUUAACACGUUUGAAAACACCUUAAAUUUACUGGUAAAAGAAGAUUUUAAUUAUGAAAAAAAAUAUAUACAAAACAACAGUUGUGCAUUAAACAUGAAUUAUUCAACUGGUAAAAUAAAAAAUGUAGCUUGUAACUCGUUACCAAAAAUACAAAAUAAUAAUAACAUAUUAUAUAGUAAAGAGUUAUGCGAAAAAGACAUUAAAUAUGAGGAUGAAAUACAGCUUAAUCAAAAUGAAAUAAUUGAUAAUGUACAAUAUGAACAAAAAAAUAUACAUACACAUGCACAGGAAAUAAAAUAUAAUCAAAGUGGUACGAAUAUUCACAGUAAUCAUAGUAUCCCUAAGAAAUCUAUAACUCCAACAAAUAAUAUAAAUAUUAAUACUAAUAUAAAUGUAUGUAAUAAUAUAAUAAAUGAAACAAAUAAAAAUGAAAAUAUUAAUUUAUUUUGUCAAAAUAAAAAUGAAAAUAUUAAUUUAUUUUGCCAAAAUAAAAAUUCAACUACUAUUGAUACCAGUAAAACACGAUACAACAGUUUAAACAGUAUUUUCCAAUUCAAUAGUGAUACAAAUACAUACGAAUCGCUCAGUCCAUUUUCAGAUAAUAUAAAUUAUGAAUAUACAGAAAACAAAAAAAAAAACAUAUCUUGUGAUGAUUUAUACAACGAAUUAAAUGUAGAAAAUAAAAAAAUAGAUGACAUAUUAUAUAUAAAUAAUAAUAAAACAGAAAAUAUAUAUGAAUAUAAUCAAUUUGAUGAUAAUACCAAAAAUAAUGUUUUUGUUGGAAACGAUUCUGUUCAGAAGGAUUAUAUUCAGAAGGAUUAUAUUCAGAAGGAUGGAGAUAAUAUGUGUCAUAAUAAUAGUGACAUAAUUCAAUGUAGUGUUAAUAACAAUACGAACCAAUCUAAUCAAUUUUUAUAUGAUUAUAGUAAGGAAGGGAACGACAUUAAAAGUGUAAUACCAGCUGUAGUAAUAGUAGGAGAGACAACAGUACCAACAACUAUAGCACCACAAAUAGUACCAGUAACGGAACCCACCACAUAUUAUAGCCUAAGACAAAGAAAAAUCGAAGAAAAAAAAGCAAUAAAAGAAAGAAAAAUGAAAAGAAUGCUUGCUGCUGAAUUAAGAGAAAAAAUAAAAGAAGAGAAAAGGGCAGCAAGAGAAUAUAGAAGAUUGGAAAAANAAAAAAAAAAAAAAAAAAAAAAAAAAGUCGAAGGAAGGAUUUAUAAAGUCGUAGUAAGAGGUAAAGAAUGUUGGAGAGCAGAAUGGCUAGUUAAACAAAAAGAAAAUAUAAAUAUAAAUGCGUAUAAUAAUAAAAAUGACGAAUUGAAAAAAAAUAAUGAUAAAGAUACAAAACCUGUCAUGAUAAAAAAGAGUAAACAGUUUUCAGUUUCAGUAUAUGGACAUGAAAAUGCUAGAUUAUUUUCAAUUUUUGAAUUAAUAAAAUAUAAUUCUGUACCUGACCGUUUAAAAAAUGAAGCUAAUAUAUGUAUACAAAAAAUAAAAAAAAAUAUUGUAAAUUCAGGAAAUUUUACUAAUAAAUCUUUUAGUAACAAUUUUCUUCAAUUUAUAUUGGCUGGUGAAAAUUGCGAAAAUUAUUUGAGAAAUGGCAAUGAAAUGGGGUCAUAUUUGAUAAAAAAAUUAAGCGAAAAUUACACUUGCAAUAACAAAGAUUCUUAUGAUAAAGACGAUUCUUGUAAUAAAGACGGUUUUUGUAAUAAAGACGGUUUUUGUAAUAAAGACGGUUUUUGUAAUAAAGACAGUUUUUGUAAUAAAGACAGUUUUUGUAAUAAAGACAGUUUUUGUAAUACGGAUGAUUCAUAUGAUAAAGAUGGUUCAUGUAAUAACGACGAAUUCUAUAAUAACAACGGUUUUUGUUACAAUGAGAGUUUUGAUAAUAACAAUAAAUUUUAUCAUGAUGGUGAUGGUACAUUACAUAAAGAAACUGAUUGUACUAAUGUACCAUUUUUAUAUACCAUGUCAAAUAAUAAUAUGAACAACAAUGACAUGAACAGUCAUAACAAUGUGAAUAACAAUAUGAGCAAUAGUAAGAAUAUGAACAGUAGUAAUAAUAAUAACUUUUCAAUGGAUAAACAAAAUGAAAUGUAUGUAUAAAAAAGUAAACAAAAAAUCACGACUAAUUUGCUUACUAAUGAGUUAAUAGAUACAAAUUAUUUAUCUUAUAAUAAUAACCCUGGUCUUAAUGUAGUUCAUAAUAAUAAUACUCUCAAGUUGAAAUAUGAAGGUAAAUAAAACAUGACACAUAAAACUUACA